AUUGAACGCUGGCGGCAGGCCUAACACAUGCGAGUCGAACGGUAACAGGAAGAAGCUUGCUUCUUUGCUGACGAGUGGCGGACGGGUGAGUAAUGUCUGGGAAACUGCCUGAUGGAGGGGGAUAACUACUGGAAACGGUAGCUAAUACCGCAUAACGUCGCAAGACCAAAGAGGGGGACCUUCGGGCCUCUUGCCAUCGGAUGUGCCCAGAUGGGAUUAGCUAGUAGGUGGGGUAACGGCUCACCUAGGCGACGAUCCCUAGCUGGUCUGAGAGGAUGACCAGCCACACUGGAACUGAGACACGGUCCAGACUCCUACGGGAGGCAGCAGUGGGGAAUAUUGCACAAUGGGCGCAAGCCUGGUGCAGCCAUGCCGCGUGUACGAAGAAGGCCUUCGGGUUGUAAAGUACUUUCAGCGGGGAGGAAGGGAGUAAAGUUAAUACCUUUACUCAUUGACGUUACCCGCAGAAGAAGCACCGGCUAACUCCGUG
Molecule: ribosomal RNA, 490 nt
Filed under: uncultured bacterium
Lineage: Bacteria
Description: partial 16S ribosomal RNA
Rfam family: Bacterial small subunit ribosomal RNA
Source: RNAcentral